CCUACGGGUGGCAGCAGUGAGGAAUAUUGGUCAAUGGCCGGAAGGCUGAACCAGCCAUGCCGCGUGAAGGGCAGGGCCCUAUGGGCGUUAAACUUCUUUUGUGCGGGAGCAAUAAUGGUCACGUGUGGCCAGACGAGAGUACCGUACGAAUAAGCAUCGGCUAACUCCGUGCCAGCAGCCGCGGUAAUACGGGGGAUGCAAGCGUUAUCCGGAUUUAUUGGGGUUAAAGGGUGCGUAGGCUGUGAGGUAAGUCAGCGGUGAAAUGCCCCCGCUCAACGGGGUGAAGUGCCAUUGAUACUGCCUUGCUGGAAUGCGGAUGCCGUGGGAGGAAUGUGUGUUGUAGCGGUGAAAUGCAUAGAUAUCACUCAGAACACCGAUUGCGAAGGCAUCUCACGAAUCCGCGAUUGACGCUGAUGCACGAAAGCGUGGGUAUCAAACAGGAUUAGAUACCCGGGUAGUC
Molecule: ribosomal RNA, 460 nt
Filed under: uncultured bacterium
Lineage: Bacteria
Description: partial 16S ribosomal RNA
Rfam family: Bacterial small subunit ribosomal RNA
Source: RNAcentral